UACGGGGGGAGCAAGCGUUGUUCGGAUUUACUGGGCGUAAAGGGCGCGUAGGCGGCCACCGCAAGUCAAUUGUGAAAUCUCCGGGCUUAACUCGGAAAGGUCAACUGAUACUGCGGGGCUAGAGUGCGGAAGGGGCAACUGGAAUUCUCGGUGUAGCGGUGAAAUGCGUAGAUAUCAGGAGGAACACCGGUGGCGAAGGCGGCUGCCUGGCCUAAGACUGACGCUGAGGUGCGAAAGCGUGGGGAGCAAACAGG
This 254-nucleotide ribosomal RNA is filed under the name uncultured bacterium. RNAcentral's name for it is "partial 16S ribosomal RNA". It matches the Rfam family "Bacterial small subunit ribosomal RNA", at positions 524 to 776 of the family's 1533-position model. The record is from RNAcentral.